Molecule: ribosomal RNA, 499 nt
Filed under: uncultured bacterium
Lineage: Bacteria
Description: partial 16S ribosomal RNA
Rfam family: Bacterial small subunit ribosomal RNA
Source: RNAcentral
GAUGAACGCUGGCGGCGUGCCUAAUACAUGCAAGUCGAGCGAACAGACGAGACUGCUUGCAGUCUCUAGCGUCGGCGGCGGACGGAUGACUAACGAGUGUGCCACCUACCUAUAGGUCACGGCUAACAUCGGGAGACCAUACCUAAUACGUGAUGAUGUUUAACUUCGCAUGUAGUAAUAGUGCAAGACAGUUGUGGUGUCUCGUAUAGAUUGACCCGCGGUGGAUUAGCUAGUUGGUGAGGUAACGGCUCACCAAGGCGACGAUACAUAGCCGACCUGAGAGGGUGAUCGGCCACACUGGAACUGAGACACGGUCCAGACUCCUACGGGAGGCAGCAGUAGGGAAUCUUGGGCAAUGGGCGAAAGUCUGACGGAGCCAUGCCGCGUGUGUGAAGAAGGUCUUCGGAUCGUAAAGCUCUUUUGUAUGGGAAGAACAGCUGUGAGAGAAAAUGAAGCUGUCUUGACGUUACCUACCGAAAAAGCACCGGCUAACUACGUG